CUGCGGGAGCCUACACAUGCAAGCCGAGCGGUAGAAGAUCUUCGGAUCUUUGAGAGCGGCGUACGGGUGCGGAACACGUGUGCAACCUGCCUUUAUCAGGGGGAUAGCCUUUCGAAAGGAAGAUUAAUACCCCAUAAUAUAAUGAGUGGCAUCACUUAUUAUUGAAAACUCCGGUGGAUAGAGAUGGGCACGCGCAAGAUUAGAUAGUUGGUAGGGUAACGGCCUACCAAGUCAGUGAUCUUUAGGGGGCCUGAGAGGGUGAUCCCCCACACUGGUACUGAGACACGGACCAGACUCCUACGGGAGGCAGCAGUGAGGAAUAUUGGACAAUGGGUGAGAGCCUGAUCCAGCCAUCCCGCGUGAAGGACGACGGCCCUAUGGGUUGUAAACUUCUUUUGUAUAGGGAUAAACCUUUCCACGUGUGGAAAGCUGAAGGUACUAUACGAAUAAGCACCGGCUAACUCCGUGCCAGCAGCCGCGGUAAU
RNAcentral lists this ribosomal RNA (485 nucleotides) under uncultured bacterium. RNAcentral describes it as "bacterial SSU rRNA". It matches the Rfam family "Bacterial small subunit ribosomal RNA", at positions 39 to 524 of the family's 1533-position model. The record is from RNAcentral.